CAAGCGAUUCUUGGCCAGAGACAUAACCUUUCAGAACGCCACCAGCGCUUGAAACCGCCAGGCCGUCGCGCACUGCAUGAGUGCCUAUCUCUCUGCCUUCUCCCAACGCAACAUCCUCGCCCACCAGCACACCCUCUAUGUCCAUACCAACCGCCAAUUUUUUGUCAAGUGCUUCAUUGCCGGUACGGUCGACUUUAUCUUUGGCAAUGCGGCCGCCAUCUUUCAGGAUUGCGACAUGCACGCUCACCAGCCAAACUGUGGCCAGAAGAACAUGGUUACCACCCAAGGCCGAACUGACCCGAACCAAAACACGCGAAUUUGAUCCAAAUAUGCAGUUCUGCUGCAACCAGUGAUCUCCAACCGGUGAAGGGCAGUUUUCCAACGUACCUCUGCUGCUCAAGGACGGUGAUCAUGCAGUUGUCGAUCUCGGACAUGAUCAACCCGGUGGGUUGGCAUGAGUGUAGCAGGACAUGCGCCCUCGACACAUUGUACUGCAGAGAGUACCGGAACACCGGCGCUGUGCCGGAACCUUGAAGAGAGUGAAAUGGAAGGGCUUUAAGGUGAUAACGUCGGCGACAGAGGCGCAAGGGUUCACCACCGCGAUUAACAUCACCAGAGGCAGUUGACUGAGCUCCAUCGGGGUUUUAUUUUCACUCAGCCCGUAAGCAAGAUUAAAUCGGUUCGUACCAUGACCAUUGAUAUUUCGAUUACGCAUUAGUUUUCUGCCCCGUGCCUGUCAUUACUUGAGAUCUUUUCAGAGAAAUGAAUGGGCAUUGGACUGACCGUGACAACCACCGGCGGGAUAUUACGAGAAGAGAUGACUUGGGCGUUUGGUGUUCUUGAGAGGCCAAAACAAUUUAACUAUGCGCUAUGAACUAAAAAAUUCAGUGUACUAUGCAGUGCAACUUUAUAGAGGGAUCAAAGAAGUGCCUCGGUAACAUUAGGCCAAACAAAGGUCCGAGAUUAAAAUUGUAGGGCAGGUUUCACACGCAAAAUGCGACGCAAUCAAUAGGCGGGCCUAAAGUGAGCUGGGCGCGGUCGUGGUAUCGGAUCUUAAAGUCCUUGCUCAAGCCCCGCCAAUGAUACGAAAAUACUUGCCCAAUCCCACAAAAAUCGCGCUUCGUGUCAAGACGGACCCAUAUUUUGUUCCUAAUGAGCGGGAUGGAGCUCUCGCUCACGCAUCAGGAGCGAGCGAGGACUAAUCAAAGCUUCUCAAAGAGAAAGAGAAACCGUUCGCC
This is a long non-coding RNA of Eucalyptus grandis, 1238 nucleotides long. RefSeq lists it as uncharacterized. The transcript is spliced from 3 exons. NCBI's taxonomy places the organism in Eukaryota, Viridiplantae, Streptophyta, Magnoliopsida, Myrtales, Myrtaceae. The record is from RefSeq and is a predicted model, not a curated record.